CAGAUUUGAUUGCAGUGACUCUGGGCUCUCCAGACACUUUAAUAUUGGUGGCAGAACCUGGUGAUGAUGUCACCAUUUGGAACCAGUAUAACCAGAUAGAACCAGUAAACACAAUGUGAUGACUGUAAACUCCCAGAACACCUCUCUGACAAUAACUGGAGUGAAUUACACUGAUUCAGGACUGUAUUACUGUGGCAUUCCACGAAGCACUCAAAUUUCCUUCAGCAAUGCUACAUAUUUACAAGUGAUAGUCACUUAAAACAUUUUGUUUCAGAGCGAAAUGAAACACAUUUCAAAAGAACAUUUGAAGAAGGU
Electrophorus electricus (electric eel) is the source of this 315-nucleotide long non-coding RNA. The record is from Ensembl. NCBI's taxonomy places the organism in Eukaryota, Metazoa, Chordata, Actinopteri, Gymnotiformes, Gymnotidae.